RNA transcript from Echinops telfairi (small Madagascar hedgehog), 921 nucleotides. It is a transcript of the gene named stress associated endoplasmic reticulum protein family member 2, with no coding region annotated. The transcript is spliced from 4 exons. The record is from RefSeq and is a predicted model, not a curated record. Lineage: Eukaryota; Metazoa; Chordata; Mammalia; Afrosoricida; Tenrecidae.
UCUGCUGGGGCGCGCGGGGCUCCGGCCACGCCUUGCCACCUGCAGCGGCCCGGGCGAGCGGGACGCGCCGGCCGGGCCUGGUCGGAGGGGCUGACGCGGGGAUUCUUGCAGGUGGGAGAGGAACGCGUUCCGGACGCCUAAGCCAUGGUGGCCAAGCAGCGGAUCCGGAUGGCUAAUGAGAAGCACAGCAAGAACAUCACCCAGAGGGGGAACGUAGCCAAAACUCUGAGGCCGCAAGAGGAGAAGUACCCCGUCGGACCGUGGCUGCUGGCGCUGUUUGUCUUUGUUGUCUGCGGCUCAGGUCAACCCCAUGCACACUGGCCCUGUCCGAAGCUUCCCUGAGAUGGUGGCAAUCUGAGGGAGUCCUACGCCCCAGUGGGACAUCUGAGGAACUGCACAGCCCCGGAGGAGCUCUUCUGCUGCCCAUGGGAGAGCCUGCGGACAGUCCCUUCCUGAGGUCGGAGGUGACCGAGGUGGAGAAGAUGUCCCUGCACCUGCCAUUGUGCCUCCUCCAGCGAUCUUCCAGAUCAUUCAGAGCAUCCGGAUGGGCAUGUGAGCAGGCCCAGGUUCGAGGCUGCUUCCCUCUGGCUGGACGGUGGGGGGCCCAUGGGGAGCGAGCAAGCUGUGCAGAACCGGCGGCGGCUCCCUCAGUUGGUCCCCGGUCCCCACAGCUCAGACGUCUGUCAGGCCGCACUGCCUUCUCCCAGGCCCUCGCGGUGCACGUGGGCUCCCAAGCGGGCAGGACAGUGGACUCUGCUGUUGGCUGGCUGGGCCGCGCGCUCCAGGCGGUGGUGUCUCCUGUGUUCCACUCCGGCUGGUCUGCAUGUGGCCCUCUGAACGCUGGCCGUCCCGCCUGCCACGGAUCCAGUUUCGCCUCCACUGGGAAUUGGUUUUACAAAUAAAUGUCUUUGUUCACCCUUA